AGAAAAGCUACAAAUAGGUGUGUUGCUUGCACUGAUACUCAGAGGAGCCAGAAACAAGCAACAGAAAGAAGACUAUUGAAAGUUUUGAAGUAAUUCUUUCCAAAAAGCUACCUCUGAGAAGUUCUACCUGUGAGGCCAUGAAGCUUUGAGGAAGACAUUAGCUACAAGGUGGUGUGUGAUCACUCUGCCCUGCCUUCAGCAAGAUCCUGUUGUUGGACUCAGGACAAAAUAAUCCUAAGUAUGACACUUGGACAUGCUGAGUACUUUGAACUGAAUGUCUUUGUGUGAGAGAG
Octodon degus (degu) is the source of this 293-nucleotide long non-coding RNA. RefSeq lists it as uncharacterized. NCBI's taxonomy places the organism in Eukaryota, Metazoa, Chordata, Mammalia, Rodentia, Octodontidae. The transcript is spliced from 3 exons. The record is from RefSeq and is a predicted model, not a curated record.